GAUGAACGCUGGCGGCGUGCCUAAUACAUGCAAGUCGAGCGAACAGACGAGGAGCUUGCUCCUCUGACGUUAGCGGCGGACGGGUGAGUAACACGUGGAUAACCUACCUAUAAGACUGGGAUAACUUCGGGAAACCGGAGCUAAUACCGGAUAAUAUAUUGAACCGCAUGGUUCAAUAGUGAAAGACGGUUUUGCUGUCACUUAUAGAUGGAUCCGCGCCGCAUUAGCUAGUUGGUAAGGUAACGGCUUACCAAGGCGACGAUGCGUAGCCGACCUGAGAGGGUGAUCGGCCACACUGGAACUGAGACACGGUCCAGACUCCUACGGGAGGCAGCAGUAGGGAAUCUUCCGCAAUGGGCGAAUGCCUGACGGAGCAACGCCGCGUGAGUGAUGAAGGUCUUCGGAUCGUAAAACUCUGUUAUUAGGGAAGAACAAAUGUGUAAGUAACUAUGCACGUCUUGACGGUACCUAAUCAGAAAGCCACGGCUAACUACGUG
Molecule: ribosomal RNA, 497 nt
Filed under: uncultured bacterium
Lineage: Bacteria
Description: partial 16S ribosomal RNA
Rfam family: Bacterial small subunit ribosomal RNA
Source: RNAcentral